UUUCCGUAGGUGAACCUGCGGAAGGAUCAUUAAAGAGAUCAUGCCCUCACGGGUAGACCUCCUACCCUUUGUUUACAAUAUCUUUGUUACCUUGGCGGGCCCGUUUGGCCCCGCGCAGAACAUCCGUCCCCGGCUGGUCAGUACCCGUCAGAGAACCGAAGUCUUUGAAUAAAAUGUCGUCUGAGUAUUAUGUAAUAGUUAAAACUUUCAACAACGGAUCUCUUGGUUCUG
This 231-nucleotide unclassified non-coding RNA is filed under the name plant metagenome. RNAcentral describes it as "partial contains small subunit ribosomal RNA, internal transcribed spacer 1, and 5.8S ribosomal RNA". The record is from RNAcentral.